AUUGAACGCUGGCGGCAUGCCUUACACAUGCAAGUCGAACGGCAGCACGGGAGCUUGCUCCUGGUGGCGAGUGGCGAACGGGUGAGUAAUACAUCGGAACGUACCCUGAAGUGGGGGAUAACGUAGCGAAAGUUACGCUAAUACCGCAUAUUCUGUGAGCAGGAAAGAGGGGGAUCGCAAGACCUCUUGCUUUAGGAGCGGCCGAUGUCGGAUUAGCUAGUUGGUGAGGUAAAGGCUCACCAAGGCGACGAUCCGUAGCGGGUCUGAGAGGAUGAUCCGCCACACUGGGACUGAGACACGGCCCAGACUCCUACGGGAGGCAGCAGUGGGGAAUUUUGGACAAUGGGCGCAAGCCUGAUCCAGCCAUGCCGCGUGAGUGAAGAAGGCCUCGGU
RNAcentral lists this ribosomal RNA (393 nucleotides) under uncultured bacterium. RNAcentral describes it as "bacterial SSU rRNA". It matches the Rfam family "Bacterial small subunit ribosomal RNA", at positions 30 to 423 of the family's 1533-position model. The record is from RNAcentral.